ACCAACAGUUAUAUCACCCUGCAACUCACAACUGGCAACCCAUUGAAGCUAAACAGGUGUGAGCCUGGCCAGUAUCUAGAUGAGAGACCUCCUGGGAAAGCUAGGGUUGCUGCUGGAA
Molecule: ribosomal RNA, 118 nt
Filed under: Lepisosteus oculatus (spotted gar)
Lineage: Eukaryota; Metazoa; Chordata; Actinopteri; Semionotiformes; Lepisosteidae
Source: RNAcentral